AGUGAACGCUGGCGGUAGGCCUAACACAUGCCAGUCGAACGGCAGCACAGUAAGAGCUUGCUCUUACGGGUGGCGAGUGGCGGACGGGUGAGGAAUACAUCGGAAUCUACUUUUUCGUGGGGGAUAACGUAGGGAAACUUACGCUAAUACCGCAUACGACCUACGGGUGAAAGCAGGGGAUCUUCGGACCUUGCGCGAUUGAAUGAGCCGAUGUCGGAUUAGCUAGGUGGCGGGGUAAAGGCCCACCAAGGCGACGAUCCGUAGCUGGUCUGAGAGGAUGAUCAGCCACACUGGAACUGAGACACGGUCCAGGCUCCUACGGGAGGCAGCAGUGGGGAAUAUUGGACAAUGGGCGCAAGCCUGAUCCAGCCAUACCGCGUGGGUGAAGAAGGCCUUCGGGUUGUAAAGCCCUUUUGUUGGGAAAGAAAAGCAGCAGGUUAAUACCCCGCUGUUCUGACGGUACCCAAAGAAUAAGCACCGGCUAACUUCGUG
This 492-nucleotide ribosomal RNA is filed under the name uncultured bacterium. RNAcentral describes it as "partial 16S ribosomal RNA". It matches the Rfam family "Bacterial small subunit ribosomal RNA", at positions 29 to 507 of the family's 1533-position model. The record is from RNAcentral.